Odocoileus virginianus texanus is the source of this 4658-nucleotide non-coding RNA. The record is from RefSeq and is a predicted model, not a curated record. NCBI's taxonomy places the organism in Eukaryota, Metazoa, Chordata, Mammalia, Artiodactyla, Cervidae.
UUCAGGCAGGUUCUUUACCAUCUGGGCCACCUGGGAAACCCAGAGGAGGUUCCACCUGGGCUGAAUUCUAAGGGUGUGGGCAUUAGCGAAGAGUAGGGAUGGCAAGAUUGGGGUGCAGUGUGUACAAAGGCCUGGGGCCAGAGGCACACCUGACCCAGAUUCUGUAAAGCCCAAAGCUAACCGGUUUAGUCUGAGGAGGAAGGGUCCACGUAGGCCAGAGUCGGUGGGAGGGGCUUACCGGUGUGGGUGGGGCCAGUACUGGCCCUUGAAAUAGUUAGAAAGCUCAGGUACUGGAUUGUGCAACUUGUGGCUUUAAAUGUGUCCUGAAGAUUCUUCAGGGGUUUUCAUUGUUGCCUCAAGUACCAGCCCCUUGAGAACAGGAUGGGUUUUUCUGGUGGCCUGGGGCUAACCCCUGCUUCGCUUCUGCCCAGAUAUAGCCUUGACCAACAGUCUGACAUCUCACAAGGAAGCAGACAAAGCUCACCUGGCAAAAGUAAGAGGUCUAGAAGGUUUUCUCGGAUCGUGUCAGGUUUUCUCCAUUUAUUCAUCCCUGAUGGUAGUUCCAAGGGAAGAGGGGUAUGAGGAAAAGGAAGCCUUUUCUAAUAGAGCAGGCUGACCAAGGCACAGGGAGAGCAAGGAUUUGGACCCCUGUCUGCAGCACUCAAGAGGCAGUGCCUGAGCCCGCUGGGAGGGGCAGCCCCCAGGACCAGAUUGGGGAGGAUGCCCCAUGCAGCUGAGCCUCAGAGCCUUGCUCACUUGGUUAGAAAGUGCAGACAGUAAAGUAUGACUUUUCCUUGUGGCUCUGAAAGAGGAAUGACGAUGAAGGGGCUCUGAGGUCAUCAGAGAGCAAAGAUAGUCCUGGACUAGACUAGACUGGAGAAUUCCCAAAGGAAUCCUGCAGUAAGAGCCAGACCUCUUCCCCGCCCUGACGGCUCUGCCUGCAGCCAAGAAGCCCCAUCUGGUGAUAAGAACCUGCCUGUUAGAAGUCUUGGGCUGUGAACACGCCCCUCUCACCAACUUCCGGGGGAGGAGACUCACCUGUGCUGAGGCCUGGUGCUAGGCCCUUUGCACACAAGACUUGUACUUCAUCUGUCAUCCUGUGAGGUGCGCACUGCUACCAUCCCCGUCUUAGUGGUGAGUAAACUGAAGCUGGCGGAGGUGAAGUGACUCACCAAAGAACAAACUGGUGGUAGUGGGUGGAAGGGAGUAAGGUGAGCAGAGGCCCAAAGGGACAGGGCCUGGGGCCAAUAGCAGUUGGCUGUGGGAAACCAAGGCACGUGCCUGUGAAAUGAGAACUUUCUUUCUCAUGAGCUGAAGUGAACAUACAACAACGCACUUCGCUUCCCCCAAAGUUUGGGCUGUAUUAAUAGUGGCAUGGCAUGCAGGUCAAAGGAGGAGAUUAGUCCUCCUUCUGACUGAGACUACCUGAAGGGCUAGGAUCCUUUCAAGGCCCCCAACACCUAAUAGCCACAGAAGAGCCAGCACACUGUACCAGACCAGAUGGACAGGGAGGAGAAGCCUGGGGAGACCGGUAUAUCCUAGACCUCUGAGGAAUCUCCUGGAGGCAGAGUCCAGCCCCAUAGAGAGAAAAACAUCCUGGAACUUAGGAAUUAUGAAAAUGGAAUGAAAAAUAUGAGGUAGUGAGCCUCUUAUGCUGGGAGCAGAUGCCGGAGGACCAGAGAUGCGGAGAGGACUCCUUCCUAGCCUCACGGGUGGUCUAGAUUCAGCCCUCACAUUGACGGAGCAUGUAGUGUUCACCUUUCCACCACACAUGUCCAGCAAACACAGGGUUUUAGGCCACACAGGUGGUGAGGCUGACCCUGCCUAGCCUGGGCCAGGCUCUAGGUUUGUUCUGCAGUUCUGCUUAGACUGCUUUGGGGAAACCAGGCAUUGGAAAUGGUGGAGGUCUUGGACCUGUGAACUGGCUGCUGCUGGACUAUCUGAAGUCACCUUUUUCAGAAUGCUGAAUAUUGUCUAGUGCCCUGGACCUUCCAGCUUCCCAUCAUGGAGUCUCCACUCAAUCAGAACCUAGGAGAAGCCAACAAACCACUGCCCCCCGUCCCCAUCACCUGUGUGGGCAGCAGGACUUCCCAGAGCACCCUGACCUCCCUAAAGAGAGGCUUCCCUGGCCCUCAUACCUCAGAACUCAGUCUUGAUCCCCUCUGUCUGACACUGUGUAGUCCCCAGACUUUGCCCUUUUUCCUGACAAGGGCUCCAACCCACGUCCACUGCAACUUCCCACUGCCAUCCACAGCCUCCAGACCUGGCCCUGUCAAUGGUUCUCUCACCUGUCUUCUACUCUCCACUUGGCUGGUCUAGUCUCUGCUGAGUUUGAGGGGCUAGGGCCAGUCACAGUUUUUUAAAUUGAAUUAGAGCAUAUAAUAUGCCACCCAGAUCAAGCGAGAGAACACUUUCAGGUCCAUCCUUUUAAAAUGGCUUGAUCCCCUAGACUCCCACAGCUUUAUUAUUGGACACUUGGCAGCUGUUGCCUUUUAUCCCAGCUAGCUGCAGGAGGGGGAAGCAUUCUGGGAGCUGUUUGUUUUUCUCCCUGCCUGACCUAGCACAGUGUGAGGCCUGUUGGAGGUGCCCCUUGAGGCCCAUUAGAUGGAGGGGUGUCGAGUUUCCCAGGUGUGUCUCUGCAUAUAUGCUCAGUUGCCCCUCAGAAAUGUGGGAGAGGCGACAGGUGAACGAUGGGGUCACGGGAGUGCAAGAAAAGCCCUGAGCACCAAAUGUGCUGGUUCUGCUCAGGUGACUGGCCACCCCAGUGUGAUGUGUGUAGGCCUGGAGGCACACAUUCCCAGCAGAAGGUUCAGCUGUGUAGAAUUCCGUGUAUGGAAUGCCCUUUCUAGAGAGCCCUGGCUAUGGCAUGGGGCUGGCCAAGCUCUCAUCCUGGGCCCUGGAGCUUCAGGCUUGAGCACCCACCAUGGCAGGAUCAGACAGCUUAAGGAAGAGGGCCAGGCCCAGCUCCAGGAGCCUUUGAAGUCAGAUGCCUGGUGCAGAAUGUUCUGAGGGAGGCGAGAUCACACAGAUUCUCAGGUAGAGGCCAAGACCCCUGCUGCUAGCCUGAGGGAGUCUAUCCCUGUCUCCUCUGGCUUCAAGGCCUUGGGAGAUGGUGCCCUCUAGGAAAUAGAGCCAUGGCCUGGGCUUGAGCAGCAAAGUGGGCGCAGCAAGGAGUUGGAGGGAAGUGGGAGGCAUGGUAAUAUGGGAAUGGGGUGUGGUACAUGAAGUUCAACAGCUGUCCUGAAAAACUGUGUCUCCAGUCUAUUGGAAGGUUUGAAGACUCACUCCCUCUUUGCUCCAGGCAGAGAGGAACCUCUUCUCUGAGGUCCUCUUCUCUGAGGUCCAGAUGCUGGUUGUCACUGAGGGUCUUCCUCUUGGGUGGGUUCUGAGUCCCUCAGAUCAUCCUGUUCCUGUCUUCUCUUAUCUUUUUGAUUGUAGUAAAUAUUUAGGGGUCUCACUUGGGGACACUGGGUGAAUCUGAUUUUACAUCAUAUCUGUUAACUCAAGGCUCAGAGUCUGACUUUACAUCGUAUCUGUUAACUCCCAGGUCCAUCUGACACCAAAAUUUGCUUUAAGGCAGCAUGGUGGCAACAUCUUAUUAUGAGGGAUGGGCUGUCCCUCCAUGGUUAGUAGAGGCAUGAUCACAAGCAUAUGCUGUUAAUAGGGAAGGAGAGAGAGAAGGAAGAGAAGUGCAUGCCAAUGGUCAGUGUAGAUGAUAAGGACUGAGGUGUCUUAGAUCAGCCCCUGAAUGGGGGAGGCUGGGAUGUGGACAUUUCCUGAGGACCUACGGUGUGCCAAGCACUUGUUUGUGUAUGAUCAGCAGGUAUAUUAUUAUUUUUAUUUUACUAAGAGGGAAGAUGAUGCACAGAGGAUUUACCCAAUCGGAGUAAAAGAUGUGGAGAUGGGUUUUGAGCCAGGUGUGGCCAAUUCCAAGGUUGGCCCUCUUUCUUCUCCAUGGAAAGUGAUCUCCAGUUGCUAUAAGUAUGCCUUCAGGAUGGGAUGUCAGCUGCCCAAUAGCUAAUUUUCAGACAUUUGAGGGAGGUCUUUAACAUGUAAGAGAGGCCAAAGCAACAGAAAAGGGGAAUGUCUCUGAGAUUUGAUUUGGUACAUUUGCACCAAUGUACAGAGAGGCUGAGCUUUUGGUGACAGUAAGGAGUUAGAGCCCUGCUUUCCCUCUCCCCUCCCAGGUCAUUGGGAAAGAAGUUCCACUCUAGGCAGCUCCAGUCAAGAACACAGGGUUCUCUCUAUCCCCAGUGCCCAGCUGAGAGGUGCAGCAUCUCCCUGGGAGUGGCAGGCCACCAGCAUGUCUCAUCUCGCUCACCUCUGUGUUGAGGUGUAUUCCAGGGUGUGGGAUGUGUCAAAAGAAAAAGAAAUGAAAAAAUGAGUCAACAAUUCUGAAGAAGAAAAGAAGUUUAUGAAGCAAGGACAGGUAUUUAUGAAGAAAGGAAAGGACAGCAUAUUACUUGGCUUAGCAGUGAGCACCGUUUACUGAUUGUGACUGUAACCAAGAAAUGUGGUGUUAUGACAUCAAAAGGAGAGGAAAGAGUGUAAGUGAAUCUCAUCUGUCAUGAGAGGAAUGCCAAGAGACAGUAUCUAAAUUGGACUUCUCUGAGAUAGAAAUAAUAGCAAUAAAUGCUUAAUUUUGUUGUUGUUUUUCA